Cornus florida is the source of this 741-nucleotide long non-coding RNA. RefSeq lists it as uncharacterized. The record is from RefSeq and is a predicted model, not a curated record. NCBI's taxonomy places the organism in Eukaryota, Viridiplantae, Streptophyta, Magnoliopsida, Cornales, Cornaceae. The transcript is spliced from 2 exons.
CUUCUUUUUUUUUUUUUUUUUCAUUUUCUGAAAUUUCGUUGGUGCAAGGGUAUUUCUGUCUUUUCACAUUUUUCGUACGGGAUUGUGGUUGGGUCCAAUUGCAUUUGGUGCAUUUUAAUUUAGGUGGAUUAGCAUUUUAAUUUAGGUGGAUUAAGUGGUCUUGGUAUAGGGUGCAUUUAUGUGUAUGUGGUGUAAAUUUAAGCAAAAAAAAAAAAAAAAAAAAUCAAAAAAAAAAAAAAAUCAAAAGUGGUGGGACCCACCACUAACUCAAAAGUGGUCUAGAGACCACAUUCUCUCACUUACUCUUUUUCUCUCCCCGUAACCUUCUCUUCCUCUCACUUUUCAGUUUCUUUUUCUUUCCUUUUGUUUUUCAAGCUUUGAUCUUUGAUUUCCAUUUCCAUACUUAGUGAUUUGGAGUGUCGUUUGAGGCAAUACGGAGAGCAUGACGAGCUCUACGCAUUAGUACCGACAAUUUCAGUUUUGGUGCUCCAUAGGGAUUUCGAAAUUGAAGACCCAUUUUGAGGGUUUUGCACAAAUUGAGGUUAUGGCAAAGAGUUGGCGGAUGACAAUCCACCACAAAACUGACGGAGUGUUGGAAGCCUUCAUUUUGCUAUUUUGCACUUAGGCUAUACUUUUGUAUAUCUAUUGUCUUGGAAAUGUAAUUAAGUCACCGGUCAUGGCCUUGUAACAUAAGAAUGAAACUAAUGUAAUCAUAGUGAUUAUCUCCGUGAAAUUGUAGUA